CACCGCGGUUAUACGAGAGGCCCAAGUUGACAGAUACCGGCGUAAAGAGUGGUUAAGGAUUAGACUGACUAAAGCCGAACAUCCCCCUGGCUGUUAUACGCACUCGGAGGAAUGAAGCCCCACUACGAAAGUGGCUUUAUUAUACCUGAACCCACGACAACUAAGAAA
RNAcentral lists this ribosomal RNA (168 nucleotides) under Astronesthes sp. CBM:ZF:15526. RNAcentral's name for it is "partial 12S rRNA". The record is from RNAcentral. Lineage: Eukaryota; Metazoa; Chordata; Actinopteri; Stomiiformes; Stomiidae.